Molecule: ribosomal RNA, 556 nt
Filed under: Achirus mucuri
Lineage: Eukaryota; Metazoa; Chordata; Actinopteri; Pleuronectiformes; Achiridae
Description: partial large subunit ribosomal RNA
Rfam family: Bacterial large subunit ribosomal RNA
Source: RNAcentral
GUCUCGCCUGCCCACUGAUCCUAGAUUCAACGGCCGCGGUAUCUUGACCGUGCUAAGGUAGCGUAAUCACUUGUCUUUUAAAUGAAGACCCGUAUGAAAGGCUUGACGAGGGCUUAACUGUCUCCUUUUUCCAGUCAAUGAAACUGAUCUCCCCGUGCAGAAGCGGGGAUAAAAACAUAAGACGAGAAGACCCUAUGGAGCUUUAGAUAUAAGGGCAGACUAUCUUUACUAACCCUGAACAAGAAACAAAUUUAUUAGUAACUGCCCCCAUCUUAGGUUGGGGCGACCCUGGGGAAACAAAAAACCCCCAUGUGGAAGGGGGAACCUAAAACCCCUAGAAACCCGAAACACAAUUCUAAUUAACAGAACUUCUGACCAAACAUGAUCCGGCUAAGCCGAUUAACGAAACAAGUUACCCUAGGGAUAACAGCGCUAUCCCCUUUUAAAGACCGUAUUAACAAGGGGGCUUACGACCUCGAUGUUGGAUCAGGGCAUCCUAAUGGUGCAGCCGCUAUUAAGGGUUCGUUUGUUCAACGAUUAAAGUCCUACGUGAUCU